Molecule: non-coding RNA, 169 nt
Filed under: Slackia exigua ATCC 700122
Lineage: Bacteria; Bacillati; Actinomycetota; Coriobacteriia; Eggerthellales; Eggerthellaceae
Also listed under: 1 other name
Description: Lysine riboswitch aptamer
Rfam family: Lysine riboswitch aptamer
About the family: Riboswitches are metabolite binding domains within certain messenger RNAs that serve as precision sensors for their corresponding targets. Allosteric rearrangement of mRNA structure is mediated by ligand binding, and this results in modulation of gene expression.
Source: Rfam by way of RNAcentral
AGGCGUGAUAGAGGCGCGGCCUUCAUCAGUAGCUCCGCAUGCAUGUCCGGAAAGACGCGGGGCGAAAGGGACGGACCGCCGAAGGGCGCAGCGGUUUCCGACGCUGCGAGCCUGGGACGCAGGACAAUAUCCUGCGGACUGCCGCCGAUGCGGAUGAGCUAUCAGGGCC